RNAcentral lists this ribosomal RNA (163 nucleotides) under Dalechampia juruana. RNAcentral's name for it is "5.8S ribosomal RNA". It matches the Rfam family "5.8S ribosomal RNA". Rfam says of the family: 5.8S ribosomal RNA (5.8S rRNA) is a component of the large subunit of the eukaryotic ribosome. Lineage: Eukaryota; Viridiplantae; Streptophyta; Magnoliopsida; Malpighiales; Euphorbiaceae. The record is from RNAcentral. RNAcentral also lists the same sequence under 3 other names.
UAACGACUCUCGGCAACGGAUAUCUCGGCUCUCGCAUCGAUGAAGAACGCAGCAAAAUGCGAUACUUGGUGUGAAUUGCAGAAUCCCGUGAAUCAUCGAGUUUUUGAACGCAAGUUGCGCCCGAAGCCUUCCGGCCGAGGGCACGUCUGCCUGGGCGUCACGC